GAGUUUGAUCGUGGCUCAGGAUGAACGCUAGCUACAGGCUUAACACAUGCAAGUCGAGGGGCAGCAUUGGAGUAGCAAUACUUUAGAUGGCGACCGGCGCACGGGUGAGUAACACGUAUCCAACCUGCCGCUUACUCGGGGAUAGCCUUUCGAAAGAAAGAUUAAUACCCGAUGGUAUAAAGAGUUCGCAUGUUCUCUUUAUUAAAGAAUUUCGGUAAGCGAUGGGGAUGCGUUCCAUUAGAUAGUUGGCGGGGUAACGGCCCACCAAGUCUACGAUGGAUAGGGGUUCUGAGAGGAAGGUCCCCCACAUUGGAACUGAGACACGGUCCAAACUCCUACGGGAGGCAGCAGUGAGGAAUAUUGGUCAAUGGACGAGAGUCUGAACCAGCCAAGUAGCGUGAAGGAUGACUGCCCUAUGGGUUGUAAACUUCUUUUAUAAGGGAAUAAAGUGAGGGACGUGUCCCUUUUGUAUGUACCUUAUGAUAAGAUCGGCUAACUCCGUGCCAGCAGCCGCCGU
RNAcentral lists this ribosomal RNA (517 nucleotides) under uncultured microorganism. RNAcentral's name for it is "bacterial SSU rRNA". It matches the Rfam family "Bacterial small subunit ribosomal RNA", at positions 9 to 521 of the family's 1533-position model. The record is from RNAcentral.